AUGAUUCAAGAGUACAAUCCGAGUAUCGAGUAUACUCCAGGCAAGGCUAAUGUGAUUGCUGACGCUUUGAGCAGAAAAGCAUAUUGCAACAGUCUGAUUCUCAAGCCUUAUCAACCCGAGCUUUGUGAAGCUUUCCGCAAGCUUAAUCUGCAAGUUGUUCCUCAAGGUUUCCUCGCCAACCUUCAAGUUUCUCCUACCUUGGAAGACCAGAUUCGCCAAGCCCAACUUCUUGAUGCUAUGGUGAAAAAGGUGAAGAUUGGUAUUGCAAAGAGUCAGUCCAAGUACAAGUACUACCGACUUGAUGACAAGGACACUCUCUUCUUCGAGGAUCGAAUUGUUGUGCCCAAAGGUGAACUUCGUAAGGUGAUCAUGAACGAGGCUCACAACUCUCUCCUCUCCAUCCACCCUGGUAGUACGAAGAUGUAUCAGGACCUCAAGCAAGCUUAUUGGUGGACUCGAAUGAAGCGCGAGAUCGCUCAAUUCGUGAAUGAAUGUGAUGUCUGCAGAAGAGUGAAGGCAGAACACCAAAGGCCAGCUGGUCUCCUCCAACCUCUUGCCAUUCCGGAAUGGAAGUUUGACCACAUUGAAAUGGACUUCGUGACUGGGUUUCCAAAGUCCAAGCGUGGCAAUGAUGCUAUUUUCGUCGUCAUCGACAAGCUCACCAAAGUGGCUCACUUUCUGCCUAUCAAAGAGUCGAUCACUGCAGCUCAAUUGGCGGAACUCUAUACCUCUCGCAUUGUCUCUCUGCACGGUAUUCCUCAAGUGAUAUCUUCAGACCGUGGCAGCAUCUUUACCUCCAAGUUUUGGGAUUCUUUUCAGAAGGCCAUGGGCACCAACAUCCGCUUCAGCACAGCUUUCCAUCCUCAAACAAGCGGUCAAGUCGAGCGUGUCAAUCAGAUUCUUGAAGAUAUGCUCAGGGCUUGUGUGAUUUCUUUCGGCAUGAAGUGGGAGGACUGUCUUCCUUAUGCUGAAUUCUCAUACAACAACAGCUUUCAAGCAAGUUCGGGCAAGGCCCCCUUUGAAAUUCUAUAUGGCAGGAAGUGCCGUACCCCUCUCAACUGGUCUGAAACCGGUGAACGUCAGCUGCUGGGCAAUGACCUAAUCACAGAGGCAGAAGAAAUGUGCAAAGUCAUUCGUGAUAACCUCAAAGCAGCUCAAUCCCGCCAGAAGUGCUACUAUGAUAGUAAGCACCGUGAUCUGGUUUUUGAGAUCGGAGAUCAUGUUUACCUCCGUGUCUCUCCCAUGAAAGGUACUCGUCGCUUCGGUAUCAAAGAGAAGCUUGCCCCUAGAUACGUGGGACCUUUCAAGAUUGUCAGCAAGAGAGGCGACCUCGCCUAUCAACUCGAGCUUCCUUCAAACUUUGCAAAUGUUCAUGAUGUGUUCCAUGUCUCUCAGCUUCGAAAGUGCUUCAAGACUCCUGACCGCACCGUCAACUUCGAGGACAUUGAGCUCCAAGAAGAUCUCUCUUAUCGUGAGCACCCAGUUGCUAUUCUUGAAGAGACUGAACGCAAGACUCGCAACAAGUCAAUCAAAUUUCUCAAAGUUAAGUGGUCACACCAUUCCGACCGUGAAGCUACCUGGGAACGCGAGGAUCACCUCCGUUCUGAGUACCCGGAGUUCUUUCAGUCCUAG
RNAcentral lists this ribosomal RNA (1632 nucleotides) under Triticum aestivum (bread wheat). RNAcentral describes it as "partial small subunit ribosomal RNA". The record is from RNAcentral. Lineage: Eukaryota; Viridiplantae; Streptophyta; Magnoliopsida; Poales; Poaceae.